GUCUCUAGCUGCUGCGGGAGCUCCAGGUCUAGUCUUUACUGCUCUGUGUAUUCUGCUCCUAGAGGCCCAGCCUCUGUGACUCCGUUAUCUGCAGGUAUUGGGAGAUGCACAGCUAAGAUGCCAGGACCACCUGGAAGCCUAGAAAUGGGACCACUGACAUUUAGGGAUGUGGCCAUAGAAUUCUCUCUGGAGGAGUGGCAAUGCCUGGACACUGCACAACGGAAUUUAUAUAGGAAAGUGAUGUUUGAGAACUACAGAAACCUGGUCUUCCUGGGUAUUGCUGUCUCUAAGCCUCACCUGAUAACCUGUUUGGAGCAAGGAAAAGAGCCCUGGAAUAGGAAGAGACAGGAGAUGGUAGCCAAACCCCCAGAAUCUCAUUCUGUCGCCCAGGCUGGAGUGCGGUGGUGUGAUCUCGACUCACUGCAACCUCUGCCUCCCGAGUUCAAGCAAUUCUCUUGCCUCAGCCUCUCGAGUAGCUGGGAUUACAGUUAUAUAUUCUCAUUUCACUGAAGACCUUUGGCCAGAGCAUAGCAUAAAAGAUUCUUUUCAAAAAGUGAUACUGAGAGGAUAUGGAAAAUGUGGACAUGAGAAUUUACAAUUAAGAAUAAGUUGUAAAAGUGUGGAUGAGUCUAAGGUGUUCAAAGAAGGUUAUAAUGAACUUAACCAAUGUUUGAGAACUACCCAGAGCAAAAUAUUUCAAUGUGAUAAAUACGUGAAAGUCUUUCAUAAAUUUUCAAAUUCAAACAGUCAUAAGAAAAGAAAUACUGGAAAGAAGGUUUUCAAAUGUAAAGAAUGUGGCAAAUCAUUUUGCAUGCUUUCACAUCUAACACAACAUAUAAGAAUUCACACUAGAGAGAAUUCUUACAAAUGUGAGGAAUGUGGCAAAGUUCUUAACUGGUUCUCAGAGCUUAUUAAACAUAAGGGAAUUCAUAUGGGAGAGAAACCCUACAAAUGUGAGGAAUGUGGCAAAGCCUUUAACCAAUCCUCAACCCUUAUUAAACAUAAGAAAAUUCAUAUUGAAGAGAAACCCUUCAAAUGUGAAGAAUGUGGCAAAGCCUUUAGUUUAUUCUCAAUCCUUAGUAAACAUAAGAUAAUUCAUACUGGAGACAAACCUUACAAAUGUGAUGAAUGUCACAAAGCCUUUAACUGGUUUGCAACCCUUACUAACCAUAAGAGAAUUCAUACUGGAGAGAAACCCUUCAAAUGUGAAGAAUGUGGCAAAGACUUUAACCAGUUUUCAAACCUUACUAAACAUAAGAAAAUUCAUACUGGAGAGAAACCCUACAAAUGUGAAGAAUGUGGCAAAGCUUUUAACCAGUUUGCAAACCUUACUAGACAUAAGAAAAUUCAUACUGGAGAGAAAUCCUACAAAUGUGAAGAAUGCGGCAAAGCUUUUAUACAGUCCUCAAACCUUACUGAACAUAUGAGAAUUCAUACUGGAGAGAAACCCUACAAAUGUGAAGAAUGUGGCAAAGCUUUUAAUGGGUGCUCCAGCCUUACUCGACAUAAGAGAAUUCACACUAGAGAGAAUACCUACAAAUGUGAAGAAUGUGGCAAAGGCUUUACUUUAUUUUCAACCCUUACUAACCAUAAAGUAAUUCAUACUGGAGAGAAAUCCUACAAAUGUGAUGAAUGUGGCAAUGUUUUUAACUGGCCUGCAACUCUUGCUAAUCAUAAGAGAAUUCAUGCUAGAGAGAAACCCUACAAAUGUGAAGAAUGUGGCAAAGCUUUUAACCGGUCCUCACACCUUACUAGACAUAAGAAAAUUCAUACUGGUGAGAAACUCUACAAACCUGAAAAAUGUGACAAUAAUUUUGAUAACACCUAAAACUUUUCUAAACAUAAAAGACACCAUCCUGUUGAGAAACCCUAAAAAUGUGAAGAAUUUGACAAAGCCUUCCAAUGAUUGUUACACUUGCUUGUAGACUUGGAAGAUCCCUGCUGUCCACUCUUAGAAUUGAAGCCACUUUUGCCCCUUCAUGAGGUGUUUUCUGAAACAUGCUGACGUUUCGAGGGCACUACAGCCUAAGCAAUAGGAGGAGGAGGAGGAAAAUGUGCUGGGCAACUGUACAUCCUUUCACAAUAAUCCCGUUGAAAGUCAUAGUCCAAGUCAAGAGAGGAGCUGAAUAGAGGCGAUGGAGAAGGGUGUUCUGUUACUGACCCAUACAUCGCUGCAGAUCAUUUCACACCUGCUUUUCCUCCGUUCACUUUUGGCUCUGCAGCCAGGUUAAUAUCUAAAACCUGGCCAGCAAUUAUUCUGCCCUUCUCUCUUCUACAGCAGCCGGGGCAUUUCUCUCAUUCACCUGUUGAACAAAGGCAAAGCCCUUAUGAACUGAGCAACCCACAAUUUUGCUGCACAUCGAAAAGAUUGCCUCCACAUCACACUUCUUGACCACAAGAGUGUUGAGAUUUCCAGUGAACACAUGGGAGUUCAUGGAGCGAGGAUCUGUUCUGUUGGUAACAUUGCUGGCCAUUGUGUUUGAUAAGGUUCCCACAAAGCCAAAAACAGGAGGAAGGAGGGAGAAGAGAUUCGAUUCUGAGUCUCCUACUCCCAGGUUCUACGUGGAGAAGCCAACUGCUGCUCGAGGUCGGCAACGUGGCCACAACCGCUCAGUCUUCGUCUCUUCACAAAAUCAGCCCCAUUACUUCUGACCAACAUCUCCUCCACUCCCAGCCCCAGACAAUCAUCAUUCUACCCUAUGCUUCUAUGAGUUUAAACCUUUUUAUACUCUACAUAGAAAUGAUAUUAUGAAAGUUUUUUUCUGUGCCGUCUUAUUUAGCAUCAUGUCCUCCAGGUUCAUCAAUGUUGUUGCAAAUAACAAGAGUUCCUUUUUUUUCCCCAUAGGGCUGAGUAGCAUUCCAUUGUGCAAAUAUAUCACAUUUUCUUUAUUUAUUAACCUGUUGAUGGACACUUAGGUUGCUUCCAUACCUUAGAUAUUGUGAGUAAUCCAUUUCCUUCCUUUUCUCUCAUUUGUUUUUAUAUCUUUUUUCCUUUUUUUAUAUCCAGGAGUAUUUUACUUUUAAAAUAUAAAUUAUGAAUGUUAAAUGCCUUCAUUUGAGCUUCAUUUGGGUCAUUAGCUGUGUUCCCAGGGGAAAUUAUUUUACAUCCUUGGUAUAAGAAUUAAAGAGAAGAGAAACACGAAGGGUGGCUUGACAGUCAACAGGGACAGGUUUAUUUUGAAUAAACCUAGGGGGGCAGCUGGCCGAGUUAGGUCAGAGCCACACUCUUUUACAGACUAAAAAUUUUUAAGGAUUCAGGGUGGGAGAGUUUAUCGGAGGCUUGGACUGCUUCUGUGUCUCUUCGUUGUGCUUAUCUGGGAGGGAGAGUUGUGUGUCUGUUCCCAUACAUCUUUCUGCAGCUGCAGGCACAGCCCCCCAGUCUGCUUUUAGCUUCCCAAUCUUAGUGCACCCGAAGGGAAAAGAAUGUGCCUAUUAAGGCCCACUGUUUUACUGGGGCCCAUUGUAUGAGGGUGAAGAUUGGCAGUUACUCAAGAGACUUUCCUUCCACCUCCCUCUGUGCCCGAGCUGGCUGUUUUUUGUUUGUUUUGUUUUUUUGAGACGGAGUCUCGCUGUGUCACCCAGGCCGGAGUGCAAUGGCGUGGUCUCCGCUCACUGCAACCUCCACCUCCUUGGUUCAAGCAAUUCCCCUGCCUCAGCCUCCCGAGCAGGCGCGCACACCACACCCGGUUAAUUUUUUGUGUUUUUGGUAGAGAUGGGGUUUCGCUAUGAUGGCCAGGCUGGUCUCGAACUCCUGACCUCGUGAUCUGCCCGCUUCGGCCUCCCAAAAUGUUGGGAUUACAGGCGUCAGCCACCGUGCCCACCUGAGCUGUCUUACCUGUAUUUUACUGUCUGCUCUUUCUGGAUGCUUGUAAUUAGAAGAGAAGUGAUUUCCUUGAAAUGCAUGAGGCUAGAAAGGGAGCUAGAACUUAAAGUGGCAGUGUUUGUCUGAGUUGAUGGUGCUCCUGCUCUAUCACUUGGAGCUUCAAUCUUCAUUAUUAAUAAAAAAUACUAUUUCCCCCAGGGCUGUUUUAAUUCAUACAUGGUAGCUGUAAGUAUUUUUCACUGAAAGCCUUGUCUGAAUAUAGUACAGUAAAUAUUUAAAAAUAAGAACAAAAUCAUUUAUAUUUCAAAGAUCCUUUAUUAUAGUUUAGUGGGUGUAUUUUGUUAUAUUUAAUGUAUUUAUUCUUUCCAAAAAAUGCCAAAAUAAAAAUGUUAUUAUUUUUUCUGGAA
Homo sapiens (human) is the source of this 4230-nucleotide RNA transcript. It is a transcript of the gene named zinc finger protein 680, with no coding region annotated. NCBI's taxonomy places the organism in Eukaryota, Metazoa, Chordata, Mammalia, Primates, Hominidae. The transcript is spliced from 6 exons. The record is from RefSeq and is marked validated.